CCCCAAGGGGCUGAGCUCGCCGGCCUGGUGCCUGCAGCCGGAGCCGGCCUCCGGCCUGGCGGGCAGAGGCCAGGUGUCCUGGAAUAAGUGCGGCCCGGGGGGAGACUGGCUGCCCGGCGGCAGGCAGAAGGUCUGCGAGCAGAUGGGGUCCGACGUCCGGGACCUGAACGCGCUGCUGCCCUCCGUGCCCUCCCUGCCGGGCAACAGCAACUGCGCCAUGCCCGUGAGCAGCGCGGCGCAGUGGGCUCCCGUCCUGGACUUCCCCCCGGGGGCCUCCUACGGCUCGCUGGGGCCGCACUCUUUCAUCAAGCAGGAACCCAGCUGGAACGGGUCGGACCCGCACGAGGAGCAGUACCUGAGCGCUUUCACCGUCCACUUCUCCGGGCAGUUCACGGGCACGGCCGGGGCCUGCCGCUACGGGCCCUUCGGUGCCCCGCCGCCCAGCCAGCCGCCCUCCGGCCAGGCCAGGAUGUUCCCCAACGGGCCCUACCUGCCCAACUGCCUGGAGAGCCAGCAAGCCAUUCGCAACCAGGGUUACAGCACCGUAGCCUUUGACGGGACUCCGAGCUACGGCCACACGCCGUCUCACCACGCCGCGCAGUUUACGAACCACUCUUUCAAACACGAGGACCCCAUGAGCCAGCAGCCCUCGCUAGGGGACCAGCAGUACUCGGUGCCCCCCCCGGUGUACGGCUGUCACACCCCCACGGACAGCUGCACGGGCAGCCAGGCCCUGCUCCUACGGACCCCCUACAACAGUGACAAUUUAUACCAAAUGACGUCACAGCUGGAAUGCAUGACAUGGAAUCAAAUGAACUUGGGAUCCACGCUGAAGGGCCAUACAACAGGAUAUGAAAAUGAGAACCACAGCGCUCCCAUGUUAUACAGCUGUGGGGCCCAGUACAGAAUACACACCCAUGGAGUUUUUAGAGGCAUACAAGACGUCCGACGAGUACCAGGAGUAGCUCCAACUAUUGUCCGGUCAGCGAGUGAGACAAAUGAAAAACGUCCCUUCAUGUGCGCCUACCCUGGCUGUAACAAGCGAUACUUUAAGUUGUCCCAUUUACAAAUGCACAGCAGAAAGCACACUGGUGAAAAACCAUAUCAGUGUGAUUUUAAGGACUGUGAACGAAGAUUUUCUCGUUCAGACCAACUCAAACGGCACCAAAGACGACACACAGGUGUGAAACCCUUCCAAUGUAAAACCUGUCAGAGAAAGUUCUCCAGAUCUGAUCAUCUGAAGACUCAUACCAGGACUCAUACAGGUAAAACAAGCAGGCACUGAGAAAACUGUAUCACAUGCAGUGUUUUCCAAUCAUCAGUGUGACCUGACAGUAAAUCCAGUCCAAGGCUUUGGAGUGGACUGAGGGCCUCCGGAAAGAUGCCUGCAGCUCUGCACCUCGGAGCUGCCUACACCUGGGUGAGGUGGGUACGCAAAGGCAGCCAGCUGGCAGAGGUGUGUUGCCAGAGGAUGGUCAGAGCUGUACUACCCAGUCCCACUCGAGCCCUGCUUGUACCUUCCCCUUUGGGCAACAAUGGGCAGGAGAAUCACUCAGCAUUUGAGCUGGGGAACUCUUCCACACUUUAGGAAACUGCCCCCUCCAUCAGUUAACAAAAAUGUCAUUAAAGGCAUUGUAUGCAGUUCAAAAUGGCACUAAUGGACAAGAAGAUCCAGCUGCAGUAUUUGGGAAGAUCCAAUAAAGGAUUCAUUAGGAUUGUUUUAGUUACUGGAAGUCCAGAUGACAGAAAGGAGCCUACUGAAACUGAAGAUCUGGUCACAAAAGUGAGCCAAGAUCUUAAUCUGCAAAAACAAGCUGAAGAGUAAUGAGGAGAUCUGCCUGAUUGUCCUGGCUUGAAUGGCUAGAUAAAACAUCUCGUACAAAAGUGACCUGAGAAAGUGAGAAGUGGAGAGUUCAGUUGUCUGGUGAAUUGAGUAUGUUAAACUUUCCAAAUAAAAGCUUCUCCUAAAGCACCAGAUUCUUUUAGUAAUUAAUCACUAUACUGUUUAUUAAGAAGACACGCCUGGAAUUUUUUAGUAACUCAGGUAACCUUUCAUGGUUUGAUGGAUACAAAAGAUAACGGUGUCUACUGUGAUUUAAUGAGGGUCUCUGAUGUAAUAUAGUAAUCUGUGACUUCUGAGUUGGUGUCUCUGUCCUGGGAGUAGGGAAGGGAUACUGGAGGAAGGCAUGUGUACAAAAACACACUGCUAUAAAAACAACCUGUUGCUAAUCAGUUAUUAGAACUACUUUUUGUGUCAUGUAGCAGGCCAAGACGGACUGCUGGGAUACUAAGUUUGGACUUCACUGGCAGACCGGAAGUCUUGUGGCGAUGUGGAGUAGUUUCAACAAAGAUAGAUUUUAUUGAAUUAAGUAAGAAAUUAAAGUUGUGGUUGGUAUAAUAUCCCUUGGACAUAGGGUACUUUGACUUCUCUAAAGUCUGGAUAUCGGUAUUCUGUAAUGGGAAGUACAGAUUCUAAAAGCCUUUGCUGUAACUAGUGGGUUAUGCUGUCGGGCGGACAUCAGAUGAUGAUGAUGGUUAUUUUUAUAAAAAUAUGAAGGUUUCUGAAAUGUAAACAGUCAUAUCUCCCUCACAUGCAGCACAGAUGGGGCUGAACUGUGCACUGUAUCCAGUAGUGCCAGGUUCCCAACAGUGCCACUCACGAGGGUUCAAGCUAUUAGAACGUCAGAUGUAAUUUCACAAAAGGCCAUCUCCUUGAGACCGGAAUAGGUCUCUUUCAAAUUGGUUCUCAGCUCCCAGUUUCCUGUUUUGUAAUGCCUGCAUUCAGGCAACUACUGUUUUUUUUACUUAUAUUUUCAAGUGCAGUCUGACUUUCAAAAAUGGCACUGUAAAAAUUCUCUUUAAAGGAACCUACAGUUGUACGUAGCAAACUUAAUUAUAAACAAUGCAUUUCCUACUGUUUUUAAUUCCUAGAAGAGUUAACCCUGAAAAGAUGAAAUAAAAUUCUUUCUUGGGCUGCAUGAAAGUAAGUAUUGAAUAGGUUCCAAGUAGGUGUAUAAACAUUCCCAUUCAGAAAACAGCUGAGUAUCUGUGUAGUCUAUGCACUGCUAAAAAGUGAUAGAUUUGCUCAAGUGCAUUCCUGUAUUAUAACCUGAGAGACUGAAGUGAAGGUGGUGAGCUCUCACAGAUGUACCUGAACAAUUAUAGUCUGCUCUGAUGUGAGAAGUAUGAGAAGUUUCUCUUGUAAAUAUAAAGAUCCGAAUGAGCUUGAAAAGCUGGCAAUAGAAAAGAUGAGAACUUCCUGACAUGGAGCAAAAGGCAGUCAUCUUAAGAAUCCAGUGGUGUUUUUAUUUUAUUUUAUUUUAUGCCCAAAGUAUCUGUAGUAACUAGAAACUCCAAAUACUAUUUUUAAGUAGCCAAACAGGAGCACCUUGAAAAUAUAUUGUUUUCUGAAAGGGAAUGUAAUGUUUUCUUAAAGUGCUCAUUUCUCCUCUGAAAAACAACAACCUUUUCGAAGUAUUUCUUAUUGCAGAACCAGAAUCAAUGCUUCCAAAAUUCCCAGUGCUAGUGAAUCAGGGAAAUGGGACACGCAUCGAAGUAUUGGUAUUUUAGAGAUGGCAGAAGCAUUAAAUACACUGGGAUUUCAGAAUUCUGCGGAUUCCUUAGCUUCUCAGCCUUGCAAAACAUCUGUCCCCACUUGCAAAGGCACAAUCUGCCAGCACUUUUCCAGCUUUGUCAUUUUAGUGUCCCUGAAGCCAAGAAUACCAGUUACAGAUCUCUGUAGGUUAAGAAUGAGUCUCAAGUAUUUUGUAGAGAAAAAAACCAUCUGUGAAAAUAUUACAGUCUGAGAGCAAAAGUGACCAAGAUACUGUUUCACAAACCAAAAUGGAAAAUAAAACCUUAAAUGUGAUAAUAACUCAGUAUAACGUGCGUGAUAUCCUAUGGAAUACAUGACAGGAAAACAGCUGAUGGCCGUAGCAUUUUCUGGGAAAUAAAGGACCGUUCAAAGUUAAGGAUUCGCAAAAUUUGCAAGAAUUCCUGGUGAUGCUUCAGUUAAUAUUAUUAAAAACUAAAUAAAUUACCAUUAUAUAUUCUUUUACCUUUCUCAUCUAGAUAUUUAAUGGAGAUUUUCAGUGUUAGAAUAAGAUUUUCAUUUCAAACAAGUGUGAAUUUAUGCUGCAGGAUGCUGGACGCGAUCCCUUCCAUCUGUAAGUUCCCAGAAAUACUUGGAACCUCCCAAGUUUUGUUUCUUUCACGUGGGAAUGGUCUUUGCAUGCAGGAAGAUUAUCUCGGGAUCUGCUGUUUCCAAUAAGUGGCUAUGCAUACUGACAGUGCAGAGGUACUUCUAAGAAAUGGUCAUUCCUUUGCAGUUGCCCCAUACCGGGACUUAUUCUGAAAACUCCUAUGCACAUGAGAAAUCUUUACUGACAUCUGUAAAGGUGUUACAUCCCAGAAGGUCCCACUGAGUGUACAUCCACGCCUGUGCUGACGUUAGACCAGUGGGUGGUAGUACGCAAGGGAGGGUUCUGCACGCUGCAGGUAAUGAAAAUGAGUUGGUCAUCACCGCAUUUGUAUAAGGUAAGCGUUCUAAUUUCUCCUUUACAGAGGAAAGCUCACCAAAACCAGCAGUCUGAGCAAGUGAAACUCCUGUCUUUCCAUGGGAUCUGUGCAAGCGUUACAGUAGUUGGGAACUUGGCAACGUUGUACGAACUAUUUGUACGCAGGUCACCUUCCAUGUCUUCUUUAACAUACUGCUAUGUGACAGAAUGGUUUAUAUCUUAAUUCAUUACAUUUAAUUUUUACUGUAAAACAAAUGAUAAUGAGUAGCUCUUUAAACUAAUGUUUUAUUUCCAGAGAGUCAAAGUUUUGGCAUAAGUUUAAUGGAAAAAACAUUAAUCUUCACAAUCAAAAAAGAGAGUUGUUGACUAAAUAUGACCUGACAAAAUUCUUUUUCGAAACUGUUCACAGAUCUUUCUCAUCAAAUUUUAAGCAAUGCAUUUCUCGUUGCUGACUGCUAAGGACUAACAAUUAUGUUUUCCAUUAAGGUUCAGAUACUGCGUCAUUUGAGAGAUUUAUGUUCAGAAGAAAGGUAUAUUUUAGUAUCUACUAAGAUGUUCGUAUAUGUAUAAAGAACUGUCACGUGUAAUAGGAACAAACAUUUGUUAGUUAUAUUUAACCUUUGGUUAUCUAGUAGUGAUGUGAGCUGUAGUUCAGAGGAGGAAGAAAUGUUUGUUCCCAGCUGUGUAAUACAGACAAGCCUUCAGGGCUGUUGUGAAGCUCUUUGAAUUAUAUUUUCUCCUCUUUCCUGCUGGGAAAUGUACAGAAAUUGAUACAAGACCGUGCUAUCAUUCAUGUGGCAGCAGACUAAGAAUGACUGCUAGAAUAUCCGGGACAUGCUUUAUGUUUAGCGCUGACAAUCUAAGCAAGACAAAUAUGAUUUAUGGGACAAUAGUUCAGAUGGGGAAUGAAUGGAGAUGUCGUGGUGAAAAUAUCAGAAUAAGUAGGUUAUGUGAAGGAAGUAGGCUUUAAGGAGGGAUCUAAAGGAGAUUUGGCAUGCGGCAGAUGGGAAGUUAUUCAAAGUAUAAGAUGCAAGAUGGAAAAAGAAGCGAAGUUGAGAGCGGGAGAAAAAUAUGAAAGGAACAGUAGGACAAGAUGGACGCUUGAAAAUUCUGCCAUUCCUUUCCAUGUAUGACUAACCAAAAACAUUUUCAUAGCCUGAAAAUGUACUUCUGUUGACUUCUGGUUUAUCCCCACAGGUAGUAAUUAUUAACAUUUCAGAAAACGCCACUAAGUCUUUCAAACCUAGUUACUCUUCCUUAGUAAAACAAGAGUUUACAGUCUGAAAAACUCAGAAGUCAUUAUUUUUUUACUACUGUAGCACUUUCAUGCAAGAGGCCGCCCUUGUUCUGAGGCAUUUAUUGCCUGACUGGACAAAGAAUGGGCAAAGGGAAAGAUCAACAGAUUUCUAUUGCAGAACAAGAAAGAGGCCUGUCAAGAUCAAAUGAUUUGCCCAAGGACAUGAAGAAAGCUAAAGCCAAGCUGAAACUGAGACUCGUUAAUUUUGCAGGUUGUGCCAUGCUGAUCAGAAGCGGAGUAAACCCUUCCUUCGACUGACCUCUGUUUUCCAGCCCCUCUCCUCCUCCAGGUUCACCUUCUCCAACGUAUCAACCAAAGCUCAUCGUUAUGCCAAAAGGCGUUCCUAAGGAGCAUACAGGCCUGCCUGUUCGGGAAGGUGGUUUCCAGACAGCAGGAUGCCUGCAGUAAUGCAGGAAGUGCUACAGCUGUAUUAAUCUGGAAGAACAUCACAGUAACUCAUGACAGUGAACUUCUGUUGAAGAUCUCUCGCCAAGUUUCUUGAAAACAGAUGCAAACAUGGGAUAGCACAGCACGAUGAAAUCGCCAAGGCUGUAUUUUGGAGUGUGCAUAUAGAGGGGCUUUUGAUGAAGCCAGCUUUUGUUACUCGGUGCACGAUUGCUGGUGUAAAUGAGGGAGAAGCAGUAAACUAAGGCAACUGUUGCAUGGACGUACGAGCGAAGUUGCCACGAGCAGUAAAGUUGCGAGGAGACGGUUUCCCGCAGCCUAGUAAACAGAAGGCACGCUGAUGAAAGCAAUCGAAGAAAUGGUUUCAGCUUGAUUCACGGGAAUGGCAGAGAAAGGGACUUCAGCCAGCAAUAGGCAAUGUUGGGAUUCUUUCAAGGUUGAAUCUGUCUAAAAAGGACGAGGAGGAGACGACAAGAGUAGCAUCUCUCAAACACAACUACCAGUGCCUUUUCUUCCAGCUAGAAGUCCACUGAUGUCAGGACUGGCACUGGCCCCAGGAUGAGUUCUCUCCACCAUUUUUGGGGUGGCUGUCAGCAGUCUAUCAUGCACAGGAGGGAUGCUGACAGCAGCCAAAAACGAUUUGGCACAGCUCAGAAGUGCCCAGGUGACAGCCUCCUCUACCAGAGAGCUGAGGCCAGCUUGGUCUGCACCUCCUGCCAGCAGACUCAACAGCACCAGGACAGCGAGCCCCUGCUUGUCUUGGGAUUCAUCUGGACUUGAAAGAGGUUGGUCCUUAUUUCACUCCCACCUGGGUGUGGAGAUGCCAGACUGAUGAUUUGUCCACUGAAACUGAACCAAACCCUCUGACAAAUGCAAAAGCUAUGGGGAAGGAGUUCCCUGUCUGGUCAAAAGUUUUGGAGAAGUUUAACUCAGAAUUAAAACUCCAGAAUCUUGAGUCCAUCGUUUCCAUGCCUUCUCCUUCUCAUCUGUAGUAACUGAAAAUUUUCUUCUCUGCUUCAGAAAUGAAGAAGAUGAAUUUUAAACGGGCCAGGCCAUGAGUGUAAGACUUGGAGUGAGGUCCAUGCUCUCUAGACUGUGCAUGGCGGGCGAUGGUCUGCCCAGUAGGGGAAAUCCUCAAACAUGCCUUUCCUCUCUGGAGGUCCUGACAUUACCCAGCUGGAACCACAGAGGCAGAGCCAUCCAGAUCUACACUUUUAACAGGGGUGAAACGCUGGCCAGUGCUUGGCUCUCUGAACUGCAGCCACGUCUUCAGCCUGGCAGCUUGAGCAAGCCCUUCAAGCAUGGAUGGCUUUGUGCUUGCUGCUAGAGGAGACCUCAGCAAGAGCCAGAGGUGGUGUGUGGAGCCUCUAAGGGUGGGCUUUGCUGCUAAAAGCGCUGGAGAAGCUCUUGGCAAGCAGGUGAGGUGCUGCUGCAGCAGAGCCACUCCGCACCGAUGGCGAAGAGAGGGUGACUUCGAGUUUGACACCUAAAACAUUGCAGUGAGCAUACAGGUGGCUCACUGGAUGCAGGUUCAACCGGUGAACCUCCGUGGAUGGAUGCACACUGACAAGGAAGCACUGACCUCACAGAAAUGUGUUUUUCCAUCCUGGAUGCUGAGCACAGCAGCAUAUAAUAUUUACAGUCUGAGCGGCACUUCUGAGCACGGCACGGCACUGAAGAUUGCCCAGCCUCUUCACAGGAACAGCCUGCGUGGCCAAGAGCUCGGGUGUAUCAAGCAUGAACACGGAGAGUGUUUCAUAAAGCAAGCAGCAGGAAGUGUUAUUCCUUGCCGGGUGUUGGUUGCCACCCUUUCUCCAUCUCAGCCAGCCUAGAUAACCCCGUGAAGUGGUGGCUGAAACAUCACAGGUGCGGUGAUCCUGAUUCUCUCUAAGACUUUCUUGGAUUGUGCUCACGACCGAAGACAUGUAAAGCAGAUGCACAGGUACUUCAUGCACAAUCCCUAGGUGAUGCCAGGAGCCUUAGCACAGGUAAGAGUGAGAGUUGAAAUCUCUGCAAGUACUGUGAAAUGCCUGUACACCUGUCCAUGAGCAAGCGAAGGGGAAGAGAGAAGCAGAGGCCGAGAACCAGGAAAAAGGAAAACAAUUCCUGUUUAUGCAAUCUGUAAUAGUAGGGAAGAGCAGAUAGGCCCUUCAAAGUUUUCUGAUUCUCUAAUUGGCAUGUUUUAAAUUUCAAGCUGGAACACAUCAGGUGCAGUCAACAAACACAGGACAAAAUGCACCUACGCAAUUUUAACAUGACUUGCCUCGACUUCAGGUCAACUAAGCAGUACAGCUGGAUGACACAACACAUUGCUCUUGAGAGCCCAAACAAAGCUCUUGUGUUGUUGCUGCACUUUGGACCGACUGUUAUUCAGGCUUGAUGACCAACUGGUGGUGCUAAUGCUUCACUGGAUGGGAGGUGAAGGAGGGUUCAUUACCCCUCAAUAAAUAUGUACAUGCAUUACAGAAACCCUCUGCAAAUUACAAAGCAGCUUUCACCAACCUUGCAAUUAAAGGAUUCAGCUUGAUUUUUAAAAGACGCUUGCAGGAAGCAGUUAGACACAUGUAUUCUGAAAUUUCAUAUGGCAGCCCUUUAAUCACGAUGGCUUCAAGGAGCAGUCACUUGCUUAGGACACUUGACCUUCAGUCCUUAGUUCUUACAGCAAGGUUUUGUGUAUUCUCUUGUAUCUGUGGUAGGAUGUUUAUUGCCUGGGAGGGAGGUUAGAUACUCACGUGUUUACAGAGGGCUGUGAAGCAGUAAAGCAUCAAGACAGGGACAGAGGGAUGGCUAGCCUCAUUCAGAGCAACCCAUGUGCCUGAUCAGCCCUGGCCUAAGCCUCAGUGAGCAGGAAGGCUCUGGAGCCUGGUGUCACUCUGUGUUUCACAGCAUGGUCAUUUACUGCAGCAGAUCUAGACUCCAAGAACAGUAGAGCAUGAGAAAACAAACAAAAAAAUGGUACUCUCAUUUAUUUCAGUGAGUGAUUUUUUUAAAAAAAAGCCAAGAUACCAUUUUUUGUUUUUGGUGGAGCUGUUUACUCUCCUAGACAUUUGUACCUGAUGGCAUUUUGCAACUCUGUCCCCUAGGUGUUGCACUGACAGCCACCUGUAACACAAAGGUCACUGGCAAGUUUGCAAGGGGCUUUCCUGCUGCCUGGAGAGAGGAGGAGUAGAAUAAUUUUCUUUUGCAGCACGCAGACUGUGAGAAGAGAACCCCUUUUCACACCAGCCCUGACCUGUGAGAAUGUUUUCCUGGCAGGGCUGCACAGGAGCCAUGCAGAGUAACAGUGAGGAAUGGAGCGGGAACCAGUGGUGUGGAUGGUUUGUGACAUCCCAGGUGAUGACAGCCACCAUAGUGUCGCAUUGCCACUGAGUCUGUUUACUCCCUGAAAUCAUCUUCCUCUAGUAGCUGCUGUGCUGCUGUUGAGAUGCUGGAGCAGCAAGGUACCCCUGGGCCAGCAGGAAUGGCACCGUGGGCAGGGGCAUAGUUCCUGGUUUCCUCUGGACUGAAACUUCUGUGGGUGCUACACCAAGAUCUACCACCCACCAUCCUGCAAAAACACCUCUGGAACUGCUGCAUUCAGAUGCUUGAUUUUGGCCAUUUUUCUAGGCACACACACUAAAAGAAAACAGGACAGAUCCCAAACAUGGGAAUCCUGCAAGGUCAAAGUCACAAAGGUCUCCCCGUCCUCUUGCUCCCCGCAUACUGCCCUCUGCCCUGCUGCCCAGGGUGCUGUCCUGGUGAGGAGCUGGCUGAAGGUAAGAGGUAGCUGAGCUUCAGCUGUCAUUCACUGACCAGUGCAUCAAAUUCAACUCUCAGUGGAAGACGCAAGUCUUCUUGCUCUCCUUCCUUCCAAAGUGGGCCCAAGGGCAUGUGGCGGUUUUCAGGCCCUUUUUUCUUCCAUUCCUAAUGACUUGUUUUUUCUACUCCAAAUCCCUUCCUGGUAGUUUUCUAAGUUUCCUUUUCUUGGAUGGUGUCACCUCUCUUUUCUUUCCCCACGCACGUUCUUCUCCAGGGGCAGCCCUAGCAGUGCUCUCUGCUUGGGUUGAUCAUAGGCAAGACUCUGCUCUGCUGUUGGUUUUCCCUUUCUGCCUCUUCUUGCUUCUUUCCCAUACUCAGGCAUAUUAAUAUUCCAACUCUGAUAUUCAUUUUUUAUCUUUUGUUGGAGAACAUUUGCCUUCUGUCUCAUUUGGAAAAAAGUGCGAUCGGUGCCAGGUUUUUAACAAGGUGAAGGCUUCUUCUUUAUUUCUGUUCCAGCCACUACUUCUCUAUUUUUGUUCCAGCUCUGCUGCUUUGGGUUGUGGGAUGUGCAAACCCUGAGAGGCACACACACGUUGGGUGUGCAAGUUGGAGCUUUGCAUGUACAAAUAUCCAGCUGAAUGCAUUCCUGGUGAUCCAUGUUCCUAAAUACAUGACUGCUAUAUACAGCCAUGGCAAACCAUGGCUGAUGGAGUGUAGAUUUUUUUCAGAUGUGAUGCAGCAGUGCAGGGCAGCACAGAUGAGGUGUGCUUGUGAACGUGCUGCAUUUCUGCAUGCGGUCCUUGCCUUCUGACAUUUGCAAAUUUGUCCCUUAAUCUCUGCGGUGCAGGAUUUGCUGUCAAGGAACAUUGUCUGGGAUGAGCUGUUGGGAUUCAGAUUAUCAACUAAACAUUAAUUAUUCUUCUGACUAAACCCUCAACAGCUAGGCUAGAAUAAUACAAAUGUAAAGAAAGAAAUGAGUAUGAAUCAUGUUCUGUACUUGAAAUCUGGAAUGAAUCCUACUGUAGAAACAGAAUCAUAUACCAUAAGCGUAUGUGUGUAGAGACAUAACAGAGCCAGAUCUUCAGCUGGGACUGAGCCAGGCAGUGCCUCUGGAACCAAAAGGCAUGUUCCUGAGUUGAAGCUCCCAACCUGCUUUAUUCUGAGCACCCAGAGGGAUUGCAGGUAAUGACAAGAUCUGUCGGGCUGUGCUGAGGAAACCAAAAUCACAAUAACAAGGAAGUUCUGUUAUUUUUUUUGCUGUAGAGAAACACUUUUUAUUAAUCACAUUUAUGCAAGAAGCUGCUUAGACAGACAGAAGUGACAUAAGCCCUUCGAGAAGCGGUAACUGGCAGAGUGUAAAGGUAAAAGCAUCAGACCUUUGUGAAAGAAACUAAAUCCCUUCUGUCUGCUGUCUUCACUAGGCAGGAAGACCCAUGUCUUCAGUUUGCGUAGGUGGCUGCUCUAAUUGCACUACAGGUUUGUAUUUAUAUUUAUGUCCCUGUGUUUGAUGCAUGGUAGAAAUGUCAUAGUGCUUAAGUUCAUUAGGGUGUUGUCUCUGUGUUCAGCUGGGCUAGAGAAGAAGUAUUUCCCUUUCAGCGUAUGCAACUAACUGCUUUUGAGCCCAAGCCAUGGUUCAGAAUAGAUCCAUAAAGAGCUAAUGAGAAGAAUAAAAAUCAGAUAGUUAAAAAAUGAUGUAAGGUAGGGUCUUAAUUUUUUAUUAUUAAAUUCACAGUGCAUUAAAUAUUAAGUGUUCAUAAACUUUGUUUUGUGCAAUGAUAAAUUAAUAAUAUCUACAUAGGCAUGUUCUUUUACAACAGGGAGGCCAAGAAAUGUAGUACCGGAGGACCUUGUGUUGACAAUUGAAGCUAUUAGAAUAGACUCCUUCAUCUUCAAUCAUAAAAAGUAGAUAAUGUUAUUUCUUAUUACUAUUAAAUGCAAAAUGUCUUCCUUAGGAAACAUAUAUGUCAUUACUAAAAAUAACUACCAGGGAAUGUUUUGAGCAACCAAGAAAAAGAUGUUAACAAAUUAUAUCUUCAGAUAAAUCCAGUGAAAUGUUCUCUGCUGAUCUGUGUCAUAUUCACAGUGCUUUCCAACUUAUCCUUGUGUUAGCCCAUAGCAGGUUGCAUAAGGUUUAUGUCCGAGGACAGGCGGUAAUGGCUUAACAUGACACAUUGUACUUUUGGGAAUCGUAACCAGCACUAAUGGCCCCAAAAUGCAGAUUCUUGUGUUACUGAAAGAUGCCUGCCAGCCUCUGCUUGGGGAAGGAACGGUGAACUUUGUGUUUUGCUUCUUUUCUGUGAACGUUGAACAAUACCUCCUUGAUUAAGAACGGGGGAUUUUGUUAACUUUUCUCCGGGAUUUAACAACAGUAUUCAUUCAAGUGAACCUUGUGGUUUAAAAACACACGGUGGGGUGGGUAUCUUCAGCCUCCUCAAGGAAAGGAGGUUUUUCUUUAGAGAGGCCAUGGAGGUGUAGUUUGGAGUUCACAUAGGCUGGAGGAAGGGGUGAUGGUUUUGGCAAGUUUGCUAUUUGUACGUGACCCAGAGAGAGGAUCCAUCCUCUGGUCGCUGGAGCGGCUCCCAGUGCCUGUGAGUGGCCUCACUCUGGGCUUCUGCCUGUAGAACCCCUUCACCAGCUGAGAGUUUUGGCACCCGAAACCCGCAGGGAAUACUUUUUUGUUUUUUACUGGAAACAGCUGGGACAAAAGGUUGGUUUGCAAAAACAGACGCUAAUUUUUGAGUCUGGAAAUGUUAAAUAUUUUUCCAAACUAGGAACCAAAGGAGAAUCAUUUGAGAUUUCUGUGAAUGACCCUGACGUCCUCAGGCAGCUCCUGCCCCAGUUUUUACCCCAAGCCCCUCAGUUGGAGGCCUGGGUUCGGCAGGGCUGGAGCAACAUGUGCUCCCGCUGUCUGUUCCAACGGCCCCAGCCAGCUGAUGGGAACUAGGACAUGCCGAGGAGCGGGCGCUCCCCGCUCAGCUGCUGCAGUGGGCUCGGACCAGCUGGAACAUGGAGGGGCCGCCAGCAGCUCCCCGCCAGCCCGGCUCCCAGGGCAGCUUGAGGCGUGGACUGGUGGAGGCAGUGAAGCCCAACGGGGAGGGGACAAGCCCCAAGGGGAGCAGCAGCUGCGGCUCCCUGCCAGGCUCCCCUGGGCCCGUGUCCACGGCACGACCCUGCCCAUCAAUUCCCACUUCCCCCUCUGGCCGGGGCUGCCUCGCCUUUUCUCAAGCCUUCAGAAUGGUGCGUAAGUGACCUUGUGCCUGUUUGGAGGUGAGGAGGCAGAAGGAAGCCUCAUUCCAAUGACAGAGUGCCAGUGCCCCCCUCCCCCCCUUCACCAGCUGGGUGACCCAGCUUUUUGCUACAUCAAAGCAUGGGAAGAAAGCACCCCUGGCCAGGCACUCUGCCGUCCCCAUCCCACAGCCCCCCUGGCUGUGUUUGUAGGGCAGCCAAAGCACUGCUGGCCCCAUCGGCCCCUGGCUCCAUGGGGAACACCUAGAGGAGUGCAGAGUGAGCCCCUUUCCCAGGCUGCUGCCAAACCAUGCUGUCCCACUGCUUUGCCCUGCAGCUCUGUGGCUGGUUUUGCCAUUGCAUUUUGGUUUAAAACUGGUCCAGCUUUCCGUGAUGCCCUUACAAGACAGGGCAUUGAUUUCUCAUCCUGACUUCCUUUAUUCCUUGCAAACCUCUUCUAGAAGGGCCUUCCCGGAGGAGCCGAGCUGCAUUGCGACUGGCUUUUCACUGCGAUCCUGGGGAGUCACUUGGUCAAGUAAAGCUGCUGGUAAAGGUCCUCUGCAAGUCCUCAGGGAGAGCUCCAGUGGCUCUCAGCAAUCGGUCAACCACCCCGCGUAGAGUGGGAAUAAAUAGAGAACUGCGCAAGCAAGGGCAGUCAAGCACCACUGAUAUCUCCUGCUUCCCACAGAACGCUGCAGAAAGUAACCUGGAGAAGUCACCUGCUCUGAUUUGCUCUGGUGGGAGUGGUGUCUUGUUCACAGAACAAAUGAAUGUCACUCUAGUGUUAUUUAUUUAAAAUAUUUAUUUAAAAUCUCAGUCAGCACAGCAUACCAGCGAUUCUCCAUUGCGAUUGCCACAGCUUCUGCUGAAUUUCAGAUUUCUCUGUUGAAGUGAAAGGGAAAGAAGGACACUGAGCUCUCCAGGAGGAUGGCUGCAGCAUGUCUGGAGUGCCCCUUGAUGCCCUCACCCCUGGGCCCACACCAAGCCCUGUUCUCGCCUGAGCGCCGAAGGGAAAUGCUGCCUGUGGGCCAGGAAAGCGCCAUGUAAGGAGAAGUGGAAGGUUUCCAGCUCUCAGAGAGCUACUGGUGAGCACUUCCAAAGGAGCGUAAGAACACUUUGAAGUUCAUCCCAUGACUUAAUAACCCGCUUUUGGGGGAUGCUUUCAAAUCGCGUCCCAAAGGACCGAUCCGCGCUUCAUUUUACUAAACAUGGACACACAAGGUGCAGCGCAGUUCACUAGGAUGCCCCUCCCACAGUGGUGUGCUGUGACAGAAGAGCUGCACAGCCUGCAAGCCAGUGGGCAGGAUCGCUGCCACGCAUCCCCACCAGCCCCACAGCCACUGCAGGAGGCCACAUCGCAAAGCAGCGCUGAGGCUGCGCGGGUCCGGUGAUGCGCGGGGAUCCCCUCUGCAGCGUGGUGUGCACUAAGCCUCCAAAGCCGACGUCCCUUUGAAAGCUCUCUUAAUAUAUCCAAUUAUAGAUUUUCAGCAACUUUGAGGAAUGUUGGCUUUCCCAGCAGCUGACCUCAGAAAACACCAUUGAAACCAUGAGGGAUUUUGCUGUUGAGCUCAGCGGGGGAGGAUCAGGUCCUACAUAAUUUUAUUGUCAGCAAUGAUGACCUCUCUUCACAAAUGAAGAAUGCCCGUCCUGAACCAUGCCCUUCGGAACGUAAACUGUUUAUUUUUAUAGCCGGAUCCUUCCCCGAGUGGGAUAUUUGUGCAUGGUUAACUUAUCCUGGGCUUUAAAUGCUUGCCAAGUGGCUUUAAUAGCAGGAUGUUGUUUAGAAAGAUUGGGAAGGAUUGCAGGCAGUAAUAGAGAUAAUUGCCAAGGAGAGAUAAAUGAAUCUUCAAUCUCAGACCAAGUUGGCUUUAUUGUUGGGUCAGGAGGGAAGGUCCAGAAAAAUCCCUCGUCUGCCACUAAAUGUGUAAUGAUAGUUUGGGAUUUAGGGAAGCUGGCAGCUGUCGAGAUCUUCCAAUAAAAACAUCUUUUGAGGCUUAA
Numida meleagris (helmeted guineafowl) is the source of this 15180-nucleotide RNA transcript. It is a transcript of the gene named Wilms tumor 1, with no coding region annotated. NCBI's taxonomy places the organism in Eukaryota, Metazoa, Chordata, Aves, Galliformes, Numididae. The transcript has 28 exons. The record is from RefSeq and is a predicted model, not a curated record.